Molecule: long non-coding RNA, 431 nt
Organism: Drosophila arizonae
Lineage: Eukaryota; Metazoa; Arthropoda; Insecta; Diptera; Drosophilidae
Source: RefSeq, a predicted model, not a curated record
AAAAAAAGUUAAUUAUUAAAAAUUGUAUUUUUGGACUUUUACAAAAGCUAAAUAUCUCGAAAGUUCAGUAUUACUAUUAAUAAAAAUGCCGCGUCCUAGAAGAUCUAAUCUUUCCCGGCGGACCCAUAAUGCAAUUAGGCAACGGAAUAGCGCGAGUCAAUUAUCUGACGAAGAGCGAGAAAUCGCCCGAGAAAGGCUCCGCGUUAGUACCCAGGGAAGAAGGGCCUUAAUUCGUGCUUCUCAAAGAGAGGCAGCCCGUGAAAUGGCAAUAAGAAAUGGUUCAAGGAUUGAUUUGAAUCGAGCAGCGUUUCGAUAUGAUUGCACCAUUGAUUACAGCUUGAAUCGUUUAGUUUGCAUUGGUCCAAUGGACGUUGUUUGCCAGCAUUGUGGCGCAUUGAAGUUUGCUGGUGAAACGCCCGGUUUGUGCUGCC